GUCACUAUAGCCAAGUGGUUACGGCGACAGAUUCGAAUGUUUAUUCGUGAUAUCUGUUGGGCUUUGCCCGCGUAGGUUCGAAUCCUACUGGUGACG
Transfer RNA from Gloeophyllum trabeum ATCC 11539, 96 nucleotides. It matches the Rfam family "tRNA". From Rfam's summary of the family: Transfer RNA (tRNA) molecules are approximately 80 nucleotides in length. Their secondary structure includes four short double-helical elements and three loops (D, anti-codon, and T loops). Further hydrogen bonds mediate the characteristic L-shaped molecular structure. tRNAs have two regions of fundamental functional importance: the anti-codon, which is responsible for specific mRNA codon recognition, and the 3' end, to which the tRNAs corresponding amino acid is attached (by aminoacyl-tRNA synthetases). tRNAs cope with the degeneracy of the genetic code in two manners: having more than one tRNA (with a specific anti-codon) for a particular amino acid; and 'wobble' base-pairing, i.e. permitting non-standard base-pairing at the 3rd anti-codon position. Lineage: Eukaryota; Fungi; Basidiomycota; Agaricomycetes; Gloeophyllales; Gloeophyllaceae. The record is from Rfam.